UUCAAAACUGCACAAGUGGCUUCUGCAUCCUGGUGCUGCGUCGUCGCGGAGCCCGUGCGGUCCUGUAGCCGAGAUGCCGGAGGAAACCCAGACCCAGGAUCAGCCGAUGGAGGAGGAGGAGGUGGAGACGUUCGCCUUCCAGGCGGAGAUCGCCCAGUUGAUGUCCCUCAUCAUCAACACGUUCUACUCGAACAAGGAGAUCUUCCUCCGGGAGCUGAUUUCCAACUCGUCGGACGCUUUGGACAAAAUCAGAUACGAGAGCUUGACCGAUCCCAGUAAGCUAGAUUCUGGGAAGGAGCUGCACAUUAACCUCAUUCCGAACAAGCAAGAUCGAACCCUGACCAUCGUGGACACCGGCAUUGGCAUGACGAAGGCCGACCUGAUCAAUAACCUGGGUACCAUCGCCAAGUCGGGGACCAAGGUGUUCAUGGAGGCCUUGCAGGCUGGCGCAGAUAUUUCCAUGAUUGGCCAGUUUGGCGUCGGGUUUUAUUCUGCCUACCUGGUGGCUGAGAAAGUGACGGUGAUCACCAAGCAUAACGACGACAAGCAGUAUGCCUGGGAGUCUUCUGCUGGAGGGUCGUUCACGGUUAGGACGGAUACAGGUGAACCUAUGGGUCGUGGAACAAAGGUUAUCCUGCAUCUGAAGGAAGACCAGACUGAGUAUCUGGAGGAGAGGAGGAUAAAGGAGAUUGUGAAGAAACAUUCUCAGUUCAUUGGCUACCCCAUUACUCUCUUUGUGGAGAAGGAACGUGAUAAAGAAGUCAGUGACGAUGAGGCUGAAGAAAAGGAGGAGAAAGAGGAAGAAAAAGAAAAGGAAGAGAAAGAGUCUGAUGACAAACCUGAAAUAGAAGAUGUUGGUUCGGAUGAGGAGGAGGAGGAAAAGAAGGAUGGAGACAAGAAGAAAAAGAAGAAGAUCAAGGAGAAGUACAUUGACCAGGAAGAGCUGAACAAAACCAAGCCUAUUUGGACCAGGAACCCUGACAACAUCACCAACGAAGAAUAUGGGGAAUUUUAUAAGAGCUUGACCAAUGACUGGGAAGAUCACUUGGCAGUGAAGCAUUUUUCAGUUGAAGGACAGCUGGAGUUCAGAGACCUUCUCUUUGUGCCAAGACGUGCUCCCUUUGACCUAUUCGAGAACAGAAAGAAAAAGAACAAUAUUAAGCUGUACGUUCGCAGAGUUUUCAUUAUGGAUAACUGCGAGGAGCUGAUCCCUGAGUAUCUGAAUUUCAUUAGAGGUGUGGUGGACUCUGAAGAUCUUCCUCUAAAUAUUUCCCGUGAGAUGUUGCAGCAAAGCAAAAUUUUGAAAGUUAUCAGAAAAAAUUUGGUCAAAAAGUGCUUGGAACUUUUCACCGAACUGGCUGAAGACAGAACUACAAAAAGUUUUACAAGCAGUUCUCGAAAAACAUCAAGCUGGGAAUACAUGAAGAUUCUCAAAAUCGGAAGAAGCUGUCAGAGCUGUUACGAUACUACACGUCGGCUUCUGGUGAUGAGAUGGUUUCUCUCAAGGAUUAUUGCACUAGAAUGAAGGAAAACCAGAAACACAUCUAUUACAUCACAGGUGAGACCAAGGACCAGGUAGCAAACUCUGCCUUUGUGGAGCGUCUUCGGAAGCAUGGCCUGGAAGUGAUCUAUAUGAUCGAACCCAUCGAUGAGUACUGUGUCCAACAGCUUAAGGAAUUUGAGGGGAAGACAUUGGUGUCAGUCACCAAAGAGGGUUUGGAACUUCCAGAAGACGAAGAAGAGAAGAAGAAACAGGAGGAGAAAAAAACAAAGUUUGAAAAUCUGUGCAAGAUCAUGAAGGACAUCUUGGAGAAAAAAGUAGAAAAGGUGGUCGUGUCAAACCGAUUGGUGACCUCCCCGUGCUGCAUUGUCACAAGCACAUAUGGCUGGACGGCAAAUAUGGAGAGAAUCAUGAAGGCCCAAGCCUUAAGAGACAACUCCACCAUGGGUUACAUGGCAGCAAAGAAGCACCUGGAGAUAAACCCUGACCACUCCAUCAUCGAGACCUUACGGCAGAAGGCAGAGGCCGACAAGAACGACAAGUCUGUGAAAGAUCUGGUCAUCCUGCUCUAUGAAACCGCUCUCCUGUCCUCCAGCUUCAGUCUGGAAGAUCCCCAGACACAUGCUAACAGGAUCUACAGGAUGAUCAAGCUUGGGCUCGGUAUCGACGAAGAUGACCCCACAGCUGACGAUAGCAGUGCUGCGGUGAGUGAGGAGAUGCCGCCCCUCUAAGGUGAUGACGACACGUCACGCAUGGAAGAAGUCGAUUAAGUGCUGCCCUGAGAAUUACUUGUAUAUGUAUUCAAUACUUUAUCUUCAUUCCCUCUGAUAAUAUAUUUUCAAGGAUGUUUUUCUUUAUUUUUGUUAACAUUUUAAGAAUCUGUAAGGCAUGACAAUAUAGCUACUUAAGGGGAAGAUAAGA
Molecule: RNA transcript, 2422 nt
Organism: Canis lupus familiaris (dog)
Lineage: Eukaryota; Metazoa; Chordata; Mammalia; Carnivora; Canidae
Gene name: heat shock protein HSP 90-alpha-like
Exons: 1
Source: RefSeq, a predicted model, not a curated record